This 143-nucleotide non-coding RNA is filed under the name Gossypium arboreum. Its description in RNAcentral is "Antisense RNA which regulates isiA expression". It matches the Rfam family "Antisense RNA which regulates isiA expression", at positions 1 to 143 of the family's 187-position model. The record is from Rfam by way of RNAcentral. Lineage: Eukaryota; Viridiplantae; Streptophyta; Magnoliopsida; Malvales; Malvaceae.
AAUAACCAAAUAUAACACUUAGGCUAAGAGUCAAGUUGGUAAUUUUUCUUACAUCUCCCCCUCCCGGAACCCAGGUAUCGUAUACGCCCCCAAAAUAAAUAGCCUUGAAUACUAGAAGAAAAGCACCUAUACCUAGCAAAAUU